Amphiprion ocellaris (clown anemonefish) is the source of this 84-nucleotide small nucleolar RNA. The record is from Ensembl. NCBI's taxonomy places the organism in Eukaryota, Metazoa, Chordata, Actinopteri, Pomacentridae.
UGGAGGACUGAGAAGGUUGAACAGCUUGUGUCGUGCUGUUAUAACUGGUUAUAACCUCCAAGAGUAACACACAAACCACAUUGU